RNAcentral lists this ribosomal RNA (252 nucleotides) under uncultured Bacteroidales bacterium. RNAcentral describes it as "partial 16S ribosomal RNA". It matches the Rfam family "Bacterial small subunit ribosomal RNA", at positions 524 to 776 of the family's 1533-position model. Lineage: Bacteria; Pseudomonadati; Bacteroidota; Bacteroidia; Bacteroidales. The record is from RNAcentral.
UACGGAAGAUGCGAGCGUUAUCCGGAUUUAUUGGGUUUAAAGGGAGCGUAGGCGGACUGUUAAGUCAGCGGUUAAAUGUCAAGGCCCAACCUUGUCGUGCCGUUGAAACUGGCGGUCUUGAAUGCACACAAGGGAGAUGGAAUUCGUCGUGUAGCGGUGAAAUGCUUAGAUAUGACGAAGAACUCCGAUUGCGAAGGCAGUCUCCUGGGGUGCUAUUGACGCUGAGGCUCGAAAGUGCGGGUAUCAAACAGG